UGAGGAAUAUUGGUCAAUGGGCGUAAGCCUGAACCAGCCAUCCCGCGUGAAGGAAGAAUGCGCUAUGCGUUGUAAACUUCUUUUCCAGGGGAAGAAAACCCCCGACGUGUCGGGGCUUGCCGGUACCUUGGGAAUAAGCAUCGGCUAACUCCGUGCCAGCAGCCGCGGUAAUACGGAGGAUGCGAGCGUUAUCCGGAUUCAUUGGGUUUAAAGGGUGCGUAGGCGGACUUAUAAGUCAGUGGUGAAAACCUGCAGCUUAACUGUAGACGUGCCAUUGAUACUGUUAGUCUUGAGUAUGGUCAAGGUAGGCGGAAUGUGUAAUGUAGCGGUGAAAUGCUUAGAUAUUACACAGAACACCGAUUGCGAAGGCAGCUUACUGGGCCAUUACUGACGCUGAUGCACGAAAGCGUGGGGAGCGAACAGG
RNAcentral lists this ribosomal RNA (424 nucleotides) under uncultured bacterium. RNAcentral describes it as "bacterial SSU rRNA". It matches the Rfam family "Bacterial small subunit ribosomal RNA", at positions 355 to 776 of the family's 1533-position model. The record is from RNAcentral.